GCCUACGGCCAUACCACCCUGAGAACGCCCGAUCCCGUCUGAUCUCGGAAGCUAAGCAGGGUCGGGCCCGGUUAGUACUUGGAUGGGAGACUGCCUGGGAAUACCGGGUGCUGUAGGCA
RNAcentral lists this ribosomal RNA (119 nucleotides) under Cyanistes caeruleus (blue tit). Lineage: Eukaryota; Metazoa; Chordata; Aves; Passeriformes; Paridae. The record is from RNAcentral.